This is a long non-coding RNA of Rosa rugosa (rugosa rose), 888 nucleotides long. RefSeq lists it as uncharacterized. The record is from RefSeq and is a predicted model, not a curated record. The transcript is spliced from 6 exons. Lineage: Eukaryota; Viridiplantae; Streptophyta; Magnoliopsida; Rosales; Rosaceae.
AUAUAGUUGUUGAUCGGAUCAAAGAGAGAGGGAGAGAGAGUAAGCUCGAGAGAGAGAGAGCCCGAGAGCUCGGUGCUCUCAGACCCGAAGCACGACCCGACCGGCGCCACUCCUUCCGGCCACGGCACAGCGGCGGACCACCAGCAUCGUCUUCGUAUCGCUGUCGCCACAAACCUCCUAUGCUUGGAUCGUACAUGCACUGAACGGAGAAGGAGACUCGACGACUGAAAGCUCCGAGACUUCUCCGAAGAGCUCUGCAAUUUCCGGCCACCGUUUGGGCCACCUGAGAUUUGCAGGUCUAGGCGAGGUUUUGGUUGUUUGACGUCGUUUCAAACCUGGAAGACUCAGAUCUACAAAAGCCCCCAACUUCCCAGGUUCGAUAUCGCCGGAUACGCGACAUGCGUCACCGUCCCCUUUACUUUGAAGGCCUUAAGGUGGCUUGAUCAAGAACUUGAGAAUUAUUGCAAAAUCUGGAACUUCAUGUCUCUUUUGCUGUUAUAUUGAAGUUUACAUUUGUUAUCUAUUUCGAAUGCAGUUGUUGGAAAGUUUGCAGGGGUUGAUGUUAAACAAGGAAGGGUAUGCUUCUAUAGGAGGUGGUUCACCCUUGCGUAAGACGACAGAUGAGCAGGUGUUUCUUUGAAGACUCAAGAACUCUAUGCCCUUGUUUUUGUUACUCGCUACUUGGACAUUUUCACCGAUUUCAUAUAUUUAUAUAACACCGUCAUGAAGCUAAUAUUCUAGGGGAGUUAUUUUUCAAUUGUUUGGUACAUUAGGCAGCACAGGAUUGUUCGCAGGUCCUAUGAUAGAGACCAAGACACCUUCCGCCAUCAUUUCCUACUGGCACCAUGUCUAGUUUUGGCCCUAAUAUUCAGUGAGAAGUUCACUUUC